UCACUCUCUUUGACUAAGGCUUCUGGGCAAAAACAGAUUUCGACAAAGGACAGUGAGACUCUCUACUCCCAUGUCAAACACUCAACUCAGUUUGCUCUCCUUUCUUUCCUAGAGCAGGUGAGAAGAGAAGCAGUGCUGUCUCUGCCAAACUUUCCAAAAUGAAAACUGAUAGCGUGAUAGGAAGUCUGCAGGAAUCACAAGAGAUGCCACAGGAUCCAAAGAUCACCACAGUCUGAAGUAUAUACAGGGAAGAAGCUCCAGCUCAGUCAGACCUAGACAGCUUCAUAAGGAACCACCCCGAAUCCUCCUGCAGUAUGCCCUCUAACGCUUCAGUAUUUGCUUUGGUUUUGAGAAAGCAAGGCAGUGUUGCGUUACCACAGAGAGCCAGCUCCAGUCUGCUGGUGUGCAAAAGCCUCUCAGACUCCAGUGCUUUGCUGAACGUCACAGAGCGCUACCGAAACCGAAACGCAGCAAGCAACCUCCUCCUGCCUCCUGCUAGACCCUGCGGAGCCAAAGACAUGGUCAUAUUUGCCCCUAGUAAAGGGGCCGUGCUGCUUCCAGGCUGGAGAUGACCCUGGAAAACAAAUCACUGCACUCGCACGGUGUCACACAAGCUAAUAUCCCUGCCAAAGCCUAACACACUGCCUAGCACAGGCAGCUGAAAUAAGUCUUCAUCUCUUGUACAGUUAAUAUAAAAUACACAUGGAUAACGAGGAGCUGACUAACUCUGGUAUGUUAAAGACAGGGUUAGUACAUAACACUCUUGGAAGGAAGAGUAUUUGUCGCAGCUCUGACCAUAUAACCACAAAAUCUGGGCUGGAACUGAUAAAAACAAUCCCCUACAUUUUUAGAGGAUCUGUCACUUUUGUAUUUUCAACACAUUUCAACUUUAAAAUGUAUUUCUCUGCAGGUCAUUUUCUACCAAAACAGCAAUACCAUUAGUCUGUAGAAAAAGCAAAAACUGCAACUGUUCUCUCUUUCCUGACAAGCCGCAGUUUGGAUAUUAGCUGAUCCUGGCCUAACUAUUGGCUAGUUUGAGGAAAGUGGAAGGAAUGUUGGUAUUUUUAAAUAAUCUUUUUAUUACACUCUAAGUGUGUUAAAUAUUCAAAUCUUUUCAUGGAGACUUUUGUCAACAUUUCCUCAAGAGUUUCAUGGGAAACUGAGUCACAUCGAGCCAAUACGAAACUUGGUGAGCUGAGAAAUGUUUGAAGUAGCAUCAGUAACAGCAAGUCUGUCAGACCUAAUGUAUAUUUUCCUGCUGUCCUUUCUCUCAAAAUUCUAGCAAUGCUUUUUCAGUACCUUACCCACCAAAAAUAUGUUAA
Molecule: long non-coding RNA, 1322 nt
Organism: Dromaius novaehollandiae (emu)
Lineage: Eukaryota; Metazoa; Chordata; Aves; Casuariiformes; Dromaiidae
Exons: 3
Source: RefSeq, a predicted model, not a curated record